AUCCUUUUUCGGCUCCUAAGUGUGAUGAUUGGGUAUUCAUGUGGCUGCAUGACAUGUGCCGCCCUCAAACCUUGUUAUGCACCACACCAGCAUAUUACCUGUAAGUAA
Nannospalax galili (Upper Galilee mountains blind mole rat) is the source of this 108-nucleotide small nucleolar RNA. RefSeq annotates it as small nucleolar RNA U13. The transcript has a single exon. The record is from RefSeq and is a predicted model, not a curated record. Lineage: Eukaryota; Metazoa; Chordata; Mammalia; Rodentia; Spalacidae.